GUUGAGCAUCCAUGGCGGGCCAUAGAGUCGUCCAGGCAACUAGUAAAUAAGCCAACUAGCUAAAGCUUACAAUGUAAUUGGGGAAAACAGCGUCGUACAUUACAAAGCAAAGCUUCGUUUGCUGCUCUAAUUUGAAUUGAAUAAUUUUUACCGAGCAUGCUUUAACUCCCCUUACAUCAUUGAUCCCAUUUCCUUCACAUUAUUGUCCCCACACACCCUCAUGAUUGAUCUUAGCUUGGCCAUUUACUAUUUAAUUAAAUUACAUAACACUAGCAUAUGGGGUAUUGGUAAUCCAAAAUAAUUUCUUGAUAAAUAAAUUUAUGUCCUAAAGUUUUGAGACUAAAGGAGAUUCUAUUUAAUACACUAAGAAAUUAGAUAACAGUAUCAUCACAGAAUAAAAACAUACGAAAGUUAACUCUCAUUGGAAUCACAACUAGCUGGUGAAAGCUCAAGAGAUACUGGACAGUGGUCGCUUCCGUAGAAACCUUGUAAUUCAAUUCCUUUCCCAUGCAUCUCGCACAAAAUAAUCCUAUCUUUGAGUUUCUCUGAAACUAUGAAAUAAUCAAUUCUCAUCCUUUUCCCUCGAUACUUUCCAAUGGGGUUCCCAGACCAUGAGAAGCCACACUCCAUGUCCUUCUCCUUGUGCAAAAAUCUAUAUGCAUCUAUCAGCUUUCCCUCUCUCAGAAUGGCACCAAAGCGCUUUCUCUCAUUCAAGGUAAAGCCAGGCUGCCCACAAUCCUCUUUGUCUGGAGGAAUAUAACCAUUUUGCUUUGCUGCGCUGAAAAAUUCAGGGUGACUCACAUCAAUCUCUUCAUGGCUAACAUUCAGAUCACCACACCAUAUAAGAGGCUUGUCUGAUAAUUGCACGACAAACUCUAGCAUCCUUUUGUCCCAUUUUCUUCUCCUUUGAAAUGAAUUCUCUUCUUUCCAGCCAUUGUUUGGUGCAUAUGUAUUCAAUAAACGAAAUGUCUCAAAUUCAGCUAAAAUAACACGGCCAUCUGGUUCAUGUUUUGAAGCUGUUCUGUCGAGAGAGAAAGAAACCUUUAUUGGUUGAUAACACUUCUUUACUAACAAUGCAGUCCCUGCAUACUUUGAAUCUGCAAGGGACCACCAAAUGCGAUAAUUUCCAAAUGGUGGACUGGAAAGAGCACGCAUCAAUAUCUGCUUUUCCUCACGGGAAGAGCUUGUGUCAUCUUUCAACUCUCCUGGGUUUUUAGGCGCACCCUUUGAGCCUGCAGCAGGCAUCCUUACUUCCUGUAUGGCAAUGACAUCAGGGUCAAAGCUAGAGAUGAACUUGGAGAACUCAGGCCAGUAGGUCUUGACUCGAAGAAGAAAGCUAUUGGCGUUCCAUGUUAUAAACUUCAACGGCUCUUUCUUGUUCUCACAGUUCCCCUCUGAUGCAGAUAACUCUCUCUUUUCACCAUCUUCUUGUUUCGCAGAGAGCGCAGGCUUCUUUGCAGACCCAUCUUUCUCUAUUGGCUUGAAAAAGCGCUUCAUCGCAACAACUCUCAAAUCUCAGCCUUUCCACUAGACACAGAGCUCUAUCCCGCAGAUG
Molecule: unclassified non-coding RNA, 1555 nt
Filed under: Hevea brasiliensis (rubber tree)
Lineage: Eukaryota; Viridiplantae; Streptophyta; Magnoliopsida; Malpighiales; Euphorbiaceae
Source: RNAcentral